CGGCUCCCGGCUCCGGGAAAGACCUUCUGUUCUCUGCCGGCGCGGAGGGCCGCAGGAACCAGGCCUCUCGCCUCCCCACCAGCUAGGCAGGGAGCGCCCAUCUCCUGAAAAAUUACUUCCUGGGAAGCGGUGCGGGGAGACAGCUUCAAUUGCUUUCGGUUGGUGAAAAACGAAUUCGCUUCUCAGAUUGCUCUCCUAGCUGCCAGGCUCUGACGUUGAGAGGCCGGCUUUCAGCCUCGCGCUGGACCUUCCACAAGUGUUUGCACAUGACCUGGAAGACAGUCAGAGGCAGAAGUCCCUGCAAAUGCUCCUGGCUACUUCCUGCAGGCAGCUCAUGCUGCUGCAGCAGAAGACUUUCCUAUGUCUAGCUGCCAGUAUUCUGGGUGCUGGGGGCAUCCUGUUCCUAGGAUCACAGCCAUGGUGGUAUGUUCUAGAACUCAGAAAUUUACCAAAUCACUGGAUGGACCAGAGGAGUGAGCUCCAGGUUGGGUUUCCAGAAGGGACUCCCAGAACUCUUCCACCAUACAGGCCUCUCAGGGAGCUGCUCCCUCUGCCAUGGUCAGUGAGAGGGGGAAGCAGGAGCCGCCAUUGGGGUUGUUGAGUUCGUGGCUGCAACCCAGGGAUGAGGAAGCUGCUGCUACACACCCAUGAAGCUGAUGCCUGGACAUAAAUCCCUACUGAUAAGUGUUUACGACAUUUCCAGCGUGGUGCCGACACUGCAUGGAAAUGCUGCAUGGAAAGUCCUUAUACAUCUAUCUUUGUGCAUUUAUUGUGAGCACCUACUAUGAGUAAAACCUGGGCUGGUGGCUGGAGAAACAUGAAGAUGAGUAAGAGCCAAUUCCUGUUCUUGGGGAUUUAAUAAUAUAUUCAAGGGAAAAGACACAAAAUAACCAUUUCCAGGUAAACUCUGGUGGGGAGGGUGGGAGGAGAACCGUGGUUUGCUUUUGUGCCCAACACUUCACAUUCCUUACCUCUUUCUCCCCACCGAGACCUUGAGGAGCAGCCUGAGCCAGAGGACCAGCAUCCUCAUCUUCUCUCCACCUCUUACUAGGGGGGUGGCUUUGGGCCAGUUUCUUACAUUCUUUGGGCCACUUUAGUUUCCUUAUUGAAAAAUGGGGAUAAUAAUAGUGGCUACAUCUCAGUGUGAUUCUGAGGAAACCAGAAUUGUACAUGCAGAGCACAUGCACAGAACAGUGCCUGGCACAGUCAGUAAUUGAUCAAUGUGCGCUAUUGUUGUUGUGUAUAUUAGUUCUCCCCUGAUACAGAUGAGAGCUAUCUCUAACUCAGAGACUUGCCACAUCAUUAAAUUAGGAGUGAGAACUGAGCCUGGAUAAGGAAGAGGAACAGGAAUUCAACACAGUGAACACAGCAGGAAAGGCUUGUGCGAAGGCUCUGGGCUGGAGAUGUGUAAAGCAUGUCUGGAGAUGGGGAAGGUCCAUUGGGCCAGGAAACCACAGGCUCUGCUCUCCUGGAGCAGAAGCACAGCGAAAUCACAGCCGAGCAGAGGAGGGCAAGGGAGAGGGCCGCCCCAGUCUGAGAGCUGCAGGGUCUGGCUGGAACUGCUCCCGGCCAGCGGACUUCACCCGGGCGCGGGGGCCGCACCUGCCGGGCGCGGCCUGCUCUAUGGCGCCCUCUGCUGUUAGUCCGCCCCAGGCUCCGCGCCGGCCUCUCCUGGGUCCGUGGGGCCUGCGGGCUGCGGGGAUCACCGAGACCCACAUUCCCGUGGCCAGCAGCCUUUCGCUCUGCUCAGAGGAGAGGCAGAAGGGCAUAUUGCUGUUUCCCAGUCGCUUUUUACACCUGCCUUCUUCGGAUAAACCCAAAAAUCUUCCUUCAGAGAAGACGGCCCGUAUUUCCCGUUAUUUGGGGGUGGAGGUGGGGCUAAGGGCGUCAUAGGGAGAGCCUUACUUUCAACAUUCUGCAUUAUGAAACCAAGGGAGACUUUUUUUCCCAACAAGUGUGAACAUUUUUUUUCAAGAGAAUUAAAUCGUUUAUUGAUUACACA
This 2002-nucleotide long non-coding RNA is filed under the name Homo sapiens (human). Its description in RNAcentral is "non-protein coding PLUT:8". Lineage: Eukaryota; Metazoa; Chordata; Mammalia; Primates; Hominidae. The record is from RNAcentral.